This 618-nucleotide ribosomal RNA is filed under the name uncultured Alphaproteobacteria bacterium. Its description in RNAcentral is "bacterial SSU rRNA". It matches the Rfam family "Bacterial small subunit ribosomal RNA", at positions 28 to 692 of the family's 1533-position model. Lineage: Bacteria; Pseudomonadati; Pseudomonadota; Alphaproteobacteria. The record is from RNAcentral.
AGCGAACGCUGGCGGCAGGCCUAACACAUGCAAGUCGAGCGCACCCUUCGGGGCGAGCGGCGGACGGGUUAGUAACGCGUGGGAAUGUACCCUUUUCUACGGAAUAGCCAUUGGAAACGAUGAGUAAUACCGUAUACGCCCUUUGGGGGAAAGAUUUAUCGGAGAAGGAUCAGCCCGCGUUAGAUUAGAUAGUUGGUGGGGUAAUGGCCUACCAAGUCUACGAUCUAUAGCUGGUUUUAGAGGAUGAUCAGCAACACUGGGACUGAGACACGGCCCAGACUCCUACGGGAGGCAGCAGUGGGGAAUCUUAGACAAUGGGCGCAAGCCUGAUCUAGCCAUGCCGCGUGAGUGAAGAAGACCUUAGGGUCGUAAAGCUCUUUCGCCAGGGAUGAUAAUGACAGUACCUGGUAAAGAAACCCCGGCUAACUCCGUGCCAGCAGCCGCGGUAAUACGGAGGGGGUUAGCGUUGUUCGGAAUUACUGGGCGUAAAGCGCACGUAGGCGGAUUAGAAAGUAUGGGGUGAAAUCCCAGGGCUCAACCCUGGAACUGCCUCAUAAACUCCUAAUCUAGAGUUCGAGAGAGGUGAGUGGAAUUCCGAGUGUAGAGGUGAAAUUCGUA